This 158-nucleotide small RNA is filed under the name uncultured Gemella sp. Its description in RNAcentral is "Listeria sRNA rli28". It matches the Rfam family "Listeria sRNA rli28", at positions 6 to 167 of the family's 186-position model. The record is from RNAcentral. Lineage: Bacteria; Bacillati; Bacillota; Bacilli; Caryophanales; Gemellaceae.
GUAUGAUAUAAUAACGUUUGAGCAAAUUGGAACAAUGAUGGCUAAUCUCAUAAAAAUGGGGUGAUGCCUAUGAUUUGGUCUCUACUCCAAGAAAGAAAAAUAGUAUGACCGCGAUUAUGAAAUGCUGAUGGUUGUGCUCACAAUCAUUAGUUUAAGAC